RNAcentral lists this ribosomal RNA (701 nucleotides) under Plasmopara viticola. RNAcentral describes it as "eukaryotic LSU rRNA". It matches the Rfam family "Eukaryotic large subunit ribosomal RNA", at positions 101 to 635 of the family's 3401-position model. Lineage: Eukaryota; Oomycota; Peronosporomycetes; Peronosporales; Peronosporaceae. The record is from RNAcentral.
GGAUGAGCUCAAGCUUAAAAUCUCCGUGCAAUUUUUGCGCGGCGAAUUGUAGUCUAUAGAAGCGUGGUCAGUAUGAGCACUUGGGUUAAGUUCCUUGGAAGAGGACAGCAUGGAGGGUGAUACUCCCGUUCAUCCCUAAGUUGCUUGUGCGUACGACCCGUUUUCUUUGAGUCGCGUUGUUUGAGAAUGCAGCGCAAAGUAGGUGGUAAAUUCCAUCUAAAGCUAAAUAUUGGUGCGAGACCGAUAGCAUACAAGUACCGUGAGGGAAAGAUGAAAAGAACUUUGAAAAUAGAGUUAAAGAGUACCUGAAACUGCUGAAAGGUAACCAAAUCGUUUCCAGUGUCUAUAAUCCGUAGUAUAUUUCAUUGACGAGCGUGUGCGUGCGUGUGCUGUUGCAGUGGCCUUUUGGCUGCGCUCGGCGUGUGUGCUGUGUGUGCUUGCUGGUGCCCUGUGCUACGGUGGGACGUCAAGGUCAGUUCGUAUGCUGCGGGAAAUGGCCACUGAGGAGGUAGGGCUUACGCUUGCGUUUGUCUGUUAUAUCUUGGUGGACGAGUAGUCGCGGUUGGGACUGAGGUGCCUACAACGUGCUUUUGAGUGGACUUGGGUCUCCGUGUGCGCCGUGUGCGGAUAGCUUGCUAUGCGUGUGUGAUUGUGUAUGGAUUGAUGCGAGUCGUAACUUGUAGCCGUUCGGGACGUUGACG